UACGGAGGGUGCGAGCGUUGUCCGGAAUCAUUGGGCGUAAAGGGCGCGUAGGUGGCGGGACAAGCGUGCGGUGAAAGCUCGGGGCUCAACCCCGAGUCGGCCGUGCGAACUGUUUUGCUGGAGCACUGUAGAGGCAGGCGGAAUUCCGGGUGUAGCGGUGGAAUGCGUAGAGAUCCGGAAGAACACCGGUGGCGAAGGCGGCCUGCUGGGCAGUUGCUGACACUGAGGCGCGACAGCGUGGGGGGCAAACAGG
This 253-nucleotide ribosomal RNA is filed under the name uncultured bacterium. RNAcentral describes it as "partial 16S ribosomal RNA". It matches the Rfam family "Bacterial small subunit ribosomal RNA", at positions 524 to 776 of the family's 1533-position model. The record is from RNAcentral.